CGGCGUGCUUACACAUGCAAGUCGAGUGCGCGGUUGUAGCAAUACAACUGGCGCACGGCGCACGGGUGCGUAACACGUGGGUAACCUGCCCUUUGAUGGGGAAUAACCCCGCGAAAGCGGGGCUAAUACCGCAUAAGAUCCGCAAGGAUGAAAGCCGUAAGGCGUCGAAGGAGGGGCCCGCGCACGAUUAGCUAGUUGGUAGGGUAACGGCCUACCAAGGCUUUGAUCGUUAGCUGGUCUGAGAGGAUGGCCAGCCACACUGGAACUGAGACACGGUCCAGACUCCUACGGGAGGCAGCAGUGGGGAAUCUUGCACAAUGGGCGAAAGCCUGAUGCAGCGACGCCGCGUGGGGGAUGAAGCUUCUCGGAGUGUAAACCCCUUUCGACCCGGACGAAAGCCCCGCAAGGGGACUGACGGUACGGGUAUAAGAAGCCCCGGCUAACUACGUGCCAGCAGCCGCGGUAAGACGUAGGGGGCCAGCGUUGUUCGGAAUUACUGGGUGUAAAGGGUUCGUANGCGGUGUGGCAAGUCGGGAGUGAAAUCUCUGGGCUCAACUCAGAGUCUGCUUCCGAAACUGCUGUGCUG
Molecule: ribosomal RNA, 586 nt
Filed under: uncultured bacterium
Lineage: Bacteria
Description: bacterial SSU rRNA
Rfam family: Bacterial small subunit ribosomal RNA
Source: RNAcentral